This 758-nucleotide long non-coding RNA is filed under the name Dasypus novemcinctus (nine-banded armadillo). Its description in RNAcentral is "lncRNA (ENSDNOG00000051432.1)". Lineage: Eukaryota; Metazoa; Chordata; Mammalia; Cingulata; Dasypodidae. The record is from RNAcentral.
AUGAAGGGAAAUGAGAUAAAGACACUAUCUCAAGGAACCCUUAGAAGCCCUUGGAAGACAACAAUUUGGUCGUUAAUCAUUUGUCUGAAGACUUUUGUCCAGCUCCUUCGCCACACACGAAGCCGGGCACUUGGAACACACUUGUUCAGAAACUGCUCUGGAGGAACGGAUGUGUUGGCAAGCAAUGCUAAAGAGGCACAGCGCUCGUGUGCCUGGGAGGUGCAUCAGAAGUUUCUCCUCCCUACUGUUUUGGUUGAAUCGUGUCCCCCCAAAAGGCAAGCUCAAGUCCUAAAGCCUGUGAAUGUGACCUUAUUUGGAAAUAAGGUCUUUGAAGAUAUCAGUGAAAAUGUGGCCAAGUCGGACUAGGGGGCCCUCGUCUAACAUGACUGGAGAGGAGACACGGCAAGGACACAGGGAGGGUGCCAGGUGAAGAUGGAGACAGAAAAGAAGGCCUCGUGGAGACUGAGCAGAGAUGCACCUGCAAGCCGAGGACUGCCAAGGAUUGCCGGGAAACCCCAGGCGCUCGAAGAGGAGGGCUGGAUUCUCCCCUGCAGGCUCCAGAUGCCUGCCGACACCUUGCUUGCAGACUUCCAGCCUCCAGAACCGUGAGAGAAUAAAGUACGAUUGUUUUAAGCCCCCCAGUUUGUGGUACUUUGUUCCUGCAGCCCUAGGAAAUGAAGGCACCCACGAAUGAUGAACACGUAUUCCUGAAAGGGGAGCUACAUUCAUAACUGCUUUAGGGAGCCCCUGAUCCCCUG